RNAcentral lists this ribosomal RNA (301 nucleotides) under uncultured bacterium. RNAcentral's name for it is "partial 16S ribosomal RNA". It matches the Rfam family "Archaeal small subunit ribosomal RNA", at positions 459 to 759 of the family's 1478-position model. The record is from RNAcentral.
CAGUAGCCGCGGGAAAACCAGCAGCCCAAGUGGUGGUCGCGUUUAUUGGGCCUAAAGCGCUCGUAGCCUGACCGGUAAGUUCCCCGUGAAAUCGGGUCGCCCAACGAUUAGGCUUGCGGGGAAUACUGUCGGUCUUGGGGCCGGGAGACGCCGAGGGUACUCCGGGGGUAGCGGUGAAAUGCUGUAAUCCUCGGGGGACUACCAGUGGCGAAGGCGCUCGGCGAUAACGGGCCUGACGGUGAGGGGCGAAAGCUGGGGGCGCGAACGGGAUUAGAUACCCGAGUAGUCCCUGUCUCUUAUU